Molecule: long non-coding RNA, 864 nt
Organism: Homo sapiens (human)
Lineage: Eukaryota; Metazoa; Chordata; Mammalia; Primates; Hominidae
Gene: MSC-AS1
Product: MSC antisense RNA 1
Source: Ensembl
ACUCACCGAGCCCGUGGACAUCCCGUUGUCCCCCUUGCCCACACGCGUCCUCUUUCCUCCCCCCUGGCCAGUCUCGCUGUCUCCGCCUUCCGCUCCCUGGCGGAGGCGGAGGCCAGAGAGCGCUCCAAGGAAGACUAAAAACCCAGGCCGGGAAGCGCGGGGUGAGAAAGCGAGGUGGGUGGCGAGAGCGUGAGCGCCCCUCUGCUGACCCCGGGGAGCGUGGACUACGAGUUGGCGCCCAAGUCCAGAAUCCGCGCGCACCGCGGAAAAUAUUUGCAAUACCUGCCACGUCCAAGGUUCAGCUGAGGCCAAUGUAAAGCCAGUAUUAUAGGACACUUCUCAGACUGAGAGCCCAAUGUCGUUGGAAACCACUGGGCCACAGGAAAGGCAGACUUCAAAUCAUCCCAACACCAGAGAACACUAAAUGACAGUGGACAGGAAGACAGUGUACCUUUUGCUCCUGAUGAUCACGGUGCUUCCUGAAGGCCCUGGAUUGUCGUAUUCACCUGCUCAUCUCCAGCACUUAACUCAAGACCCCCGUGGAUCCAGGAACUGGCAUAGGUGCACUCAGCAACGCUUUGGACACUGCCAUGUGAGGGUUUAAUGCCUGGAUCUGUGCCAUGAAGCAAACAGGAGGAGAAUGAAAGCUGGAGCACUUAGCAGGCUAGGAUUCCAGUAUGGUCUUGAACAGGAGUGAUGAUGGGAAGCUCACUCUUGAAUUAUUUCCUAAGCAAAGCCAAGAAGCUUCCUGGGCUAAGCCUGCUCUGCAUCAAGUAGUGCCCAAUGUGGAGCUGAGGAGAGAAGACGAUGGUGUGACAGAUGGUGAGAGAAUUGGCAGUUGGCAGUCGGCAAGGCAAAGGCAAA